Neopelma chrysocephalum (saffron-crested tyrant-manakin) is the source of this 1848-nucleotide long non-coding RNA. RefSeq lists it as uncharacterized. The transcript has 3 exons. NCBI's taxonomy places the organism in Eukaryota, Metazoa, Chordata, Aves, Passeriformes, Pipridae. The record is from RefSeq and is a predicted model, not a curated record.
GAGCAGAAAAUGAUCAAUUGGUGUUUGAGGUUAUGGGUUUGGGGUACGGUGUUUUGUUUGGGUUUUUGUUUGGUUCUUUGGGGUUUUUUUGUUUGUUUUUCUCUUUUUGAGAGAUCGUGAGAAAGGGAGAAGAAUUGGGGGGGAAAAAAGGGAUUUGAAUGCAAUUUGCGGUGAAUAAUUGCAGCAUGAUCCAACGCACACAUGGUUCUACAUGUGAAUCCCUACCCCAUGUAUGCGUUCUAACAAGUUCUGGGUGUGAAUGCCUUCCCCAUGUAUGUGUCCUGAUGUGGCACAAAAUGUUAUCCUUUCAUGCAUUUCUAACAAAUAUUCAAAACUUGAUCAUAAGUUUGUUAGAACUGGGAAAAUCCUCUGCCCUCCCACCCCUCAAGGGUGUUGUCUACCCACAUGAGGCUGUGCUGUCAGUUUUAAUUUAUGGUCAUUUCUUAUUGACUCCAAACAAGGCAGUUUAUUACCACAAAAUGUGUCUACAUUCUGUUUCCAAGUGAACAUUUUCUGCACCCAGCACUGCUGUGUCUCAUCAGCUCUUCCAUACCAGCAAAAUCUUGAAGGGAGUAGAAAAUGAGAACGUUGUACUACUCUCCUCAUAAAGGGAAAUCCAGGAGUGAGUGAAAACUUUAUAAGGAUCACAUUUCCCAAGCAAUCUCACUUUCCUGGAGAGGUUGUCCACAUGUUCACAGUGCUGCUACCAAUGAACAGGGAUGGGCUGUUCUCUCCUCCCUCCAUCAGGCUUCUGUUCAACUACUGCUGUCUUUUCAUCAUAGUUACUUUUUACCUCUGUUUUUAUCUUAGUUACUCAUUGGCAAAGAUUGGGCUUCAUAAGUUUGCAAAGUGAAAGAAUUUUACAAGGUUAAAAAAAAAAAAAUGAGAUGCCUGAAAAUACCGCAAAAUUCAUCCCUCUUGACUCUGCUUUUUAUUUAAUGCCUAGAUGAAAAUAUUACCUCCUGAGUCUCUGUGUGUGUGGCUGAGUCCCCGGGACACCUGCCAAGACACGAAUUUUAGAUGCCCGAAAUCAUGUGCUCAGCAGGUGUAAAUUGUGUGCAGGGAGAGUUCACCUUUUGUCCUGAACCCCAGAGGCAGUUUCUCUUCAUUAGCAAGGGAAGAUGGGGAAGGAGAUUAUCCUCGUUUCCUGACUGCGUGCCAAAGUUAUGUAUCAUAAGGAGAAAAUCUGUUCCUGCGUUCACAAAUAUGUUUGCUCCUAAUCUGUCUUCAGGGAAGUGUCUUUGUGAGGAGCGAGGGGUGCUGAUGAUGGCAGGAGAGCUGAGGCGGAGGGACAGGAACAGACGCAGAAUUUCUCUGCCGGGAUUUUUUUCCAGUGGGAUCCACGGUGGAUAUUUUUAAAUGCCCGGCUUAUUCCGUGACCUGUUAAAAUCGAGUUGAUGUGCGUGUGCUCCACUCAGCGGAGAACUCGCCGGAGAUGGAGCAAUUCCUGUGCACUCUGGGAGAAGAGACAAGAGCACGCUCUGGAAGCCUUUAUGAGGAGGCUUUUAGAAGCCAUUUUGAAAAGCCACUUGUUAUCCUUCUGUGUUUUGGAAGUCUGGACUGGGCCUCCCAGGUGAUAUUAGGAAAUUGGAACAGUACCUGUAGUGCCAGAUUGCUGUUGCCUGAAGAAGAAAACACCUGCUUCCUCCUUUUCCAGAGGUGGUUGGUGGUCGGUGCUCCUCCUGCCUGGGCCGUGUCCUCAAGCACAACCAUCCUUUUUAUACGUAAAUCUUGAUGUUCCCUUGACGUGAAACACUUGGUGCUGCUGCUCCUUGAACACUCCCCCUGACUUAUUCAAGGAAUAACAUUUGUUUAUCCCUGAGAAGAUACAAACAGAAUGCUUAGGGG